AGACCCUGGUCUGCACUCUGUCU
RNAcentral lists this microRNA (23 nucleotides) under Cervus elaphus (red deer). Its description in RNAcentral is "Cel-miR-504". RNAcentral also lists the same sequence under 2 other names. Lineage: Eukaryota; Metazoa; Chordata; Mammalia; Artiodactyla; Cervidae. The record is from RNAcentral.